AAAUUGAAGAGUUUGAUCAUGGCUCAGAUUGAACGCUGGCGGCAGGCCUAACACAUGCAAGUCGAACGGUAACAGGAAGCAGCUUGCUGCUUCGCUGACGAGUGGCGGACGGGUGAGUAAUGUCUGGGAAACUGCCUGAUGGAGGGGGAUAACUACUGGAAACGGUAGCUAAUACCGCAUAAUGUCGCAAGACCAAAGAGGGGGACCUUCGGGCCUCUUGCCAUCGGAUGUGCCCAGAUGGGAUUAGCUAGUAGGUGGGGUAACGGCUCACCUAGGCGACGAUCCCUAGCUGGUCUGAGAGGAUGACCAGCCACACUGGAACUGAGACACGGUCCAGACUCCUACGGGAGGCAGCAGUGGGGAAUAUUGCACAAUGGGCGCAAGCCUGAUGCAGCCAUGCCGCGUGUAUGAAGAAGGCCUUCGGGUUGUAAAGUACUUUCAGCGGGGAGGAAGGGAGUAAAGUUAAUACCUUUGCU
This 476-nucleotide ribosomal RNA is filed under the name Escherichia coli. Its description in RNAcentral is "bacterial SSU rRNA". It matches the Rfam family "Bacterial small subunit ribosomal RNA", at positions 1 to 473 of the family's 1533-position model. The record is from RNAcentral. Lineage: Bacteria; Pseudomonadati; Pseudomonadota; Gammaproteobacteria; Enterobacterales; Enterobacteriaceae.